AUGGAACCCAUCACCAUCAUCGCCAUCAUCGCCAUCAUCGCCAUCAUCUCCAUCCAGCAGGAUCCCAGUAUCCAGCAGCUGCAGAGCAUGAAAGAUUCAGAGAUGGUGGCUCCAGGAGGGACAGUUGCUUUGUCAUGUAGCUACGGUGCUGGACCCAUCACUGACAAUAACUACCCCGAGUGGAUCCAGCAGAAGUCAGAACAGGUUCCACGGCUUCUAAUAUAUAGCACCAGCAGCAGGGCAAAAGGAAUCCCAGCCCGCUUCUCUGGUUCCAGGUCAGCAAACACCAUGUCCCUGACCAUCACGGGAGCCCUGAUGGAAGAUGAUGCUACUUAUUACUGUGCAGUUUGGACAGGCAAGGGGUUGCACAGCUGUUCAUCAGGAUGGAGAAAUGAGAUAAAACCUCACAGCAGGAACUGA
Molecule: non-coding RNA, 420 nt
Organism: Python bivittatus (Burmese python)
Lineage: Eukaryota; Metazoa; Chordata; Lepidosauria; Squamata; Pythonidae
Source: the annotation of a RefSeq genome assembly